UGGGGAAUUUUGGACAAUGGGCGCAAGCCUGAUCCAGCAAUGCCGCGUGCAGGAUGAAGGCCUUCGGGUUGUAAACUGCUUUUGUACGGAGCGAAAAGGUCUGCACUAAUACGGUGGGCUCAUGACGGUACCGUAAGAAUAAGCACCGGCUAACUACGUGCCAGCAGCCGCGGUAGUACGUAGGGUGCGAGCGUUAAUCGGAAUUACUGGGCGUAAAGCGUGCGCAGGCGGUUAUAUAAGACAGAUGUGAAAUCCCCGGGCUCAACCUGGGACCUGCAUUAGUGACUGUAUAGCUAGAGUACGGUAGAGGGGGAUGGAAUUCCGCGUGUAGCAGUGAAAUGCGUAGAUAUGCGGAGGAACACCGAUGGCGAAGGCAAUCCCCUGGACCUGUACUGACGCUCAUGCACGAAAGCGUGGGGAGCAAACA
RNAcentral lists this ribosomal RNA (427 nucleotides) under uncultured bacterium. RNAcentral describes it as "bacterial SSU rRNA". It matches the Rfam family "Bacterial small subunit ribosomal RNA", at positions 355 to 774 of the family's 1533-position model. The record is from RNAcentral.